This is a long non-coding RNA of Eriocheir sinensis (Chinese mitten crab), 2155 nucleotides long. RefSeq lists it as uncharacterized. The transcript has 3 exons. The record is from RefSeq and is a predicted model, not a curated record. NCBI's taxonomy places the organism in Eukaryota, Metazoa, Arthropoda, Malacostraca, Decapoda, Varunidae.
AUAAAAUAAAGGAAUAUAUUUGCCCUUACAGAGGUUACACGAGUCUUAAAGAAGAAAACUUUUGCCCGUCUCUCUGUUUGUGUUAAGAGUCGACUGUUAGGUGUGUCGGGGUAACUGUUAUAAGCACUAGGUUGGUCUGGCCACCCUGGUGUAUACAUGGAGAAGACUGUGUACUUUGUGACUGGUAGUGUUAAGAGCUGACUGUCAGGUAACUGUUGCGGAGACUCAACUGGUGUGGUCAUAUAAGUGUAGAGAGAAGACUGUUUGGCUCUCUGUUUACUGUUAACUGUCUACUCUGUGACUGGUAGUGUUAAGAGAUGACUGUUAGGUGUGUGAGGGUAACGUAACUGUUGCUGAGACUAGACUGGUAUGGUCAUAUAAGUGUAUAGAGAAGACUGUUUGGCUCUCUGUUUACUGUUAACGGUCUACUCUGUGCCUGCUAAUGUUAAGAGUUGACUGUUAGGUGUGUGGAGGUAACUGGUAACUGGCAGGGACUAGAUAGGUGUGGUCAUAUAACUAAGAACAUAAGAACAUAGGGAGACUGCAAGAGGCCGAGAGAAGACUGUUUGGCUCUCUGUUUACGGUUAACUGUCUUCUCUGUGACUGGUAGCGUUAAGAGUUGAUUGUUAGGUGUGUGGGGGUAACUGGUAACUUGCAGGGACUAGGUCGGUGUGGUCACAUAGAGGUAUAGAGAAGACUGUUUGACUGGUAGUGUUGGAAGUGACUCAGGUGUGUGUGUGUGUAGGUAACUCUUGCAAGGCCUCACAAAGGGAAGGUUCUACACAGCCUCCCUUGUGGUCACCGGGGCGAGGGCGAGGGUACAAUUAAUGUUUACUCUGUGACUGGUAGUGUUGGGAGUGGCUCAGGUGUGUGUGUGUAGGUAACUCUUGCAAGGCCUCACAAGGGAAGGUUCUACACAGCCUCCCUUGUGGUCACCGGGGCGAGGGCGAGGAUACACUUAAUGUUUACUCUGUGACUGGUAGUGUUGGGAGUGACUCAGGUGUGUGUGUGUGUAGGUAACUCUUGCAAGGCCUCACAAGGGAAGGUUCUACACAGCCUCCCUUGUGGUCACCGGGGCGAGGGCGAGGAUACACUUAAUCUCUGUGACUGGUAGUGUUGGAAGUGACUCAGGUGUGUGUGCGUAACUCUCGCAAGGCCUCACAAGGGAAGGUUCUGCCAGCGUUGCCAAAUCAUCGUACACACCGUAUUCCAUUUUCAUGGUUUCUGACUGACAUCUAUAGCAAAAACAAACAAAACAAACAUCAAUAAAUAGCAGUUUUAACGCUAACUUUAAUAUCCUUUCAUUAUUUCUGUAGGUACGAGAGUUUGAGGCUUAAAAAUGAUAAAUACAAUGUGGUGAAUACGAAAGUCUGGCAACACUGGGCGGGACGAGGGCGCUAGGAUACACUUGAGCAAAUGUACGAAGUAAUACCUGAACAUAGACAUUUGUACUCGACGAUAGUAAAAUUACAUGGAUAAAAUAAAGUACGGAUAAAAUCAACUACUAGAUAAAGUUAUGGUAUAUAUAUAGCUGGUAACUGAUAAGCUAAAUUCAUAAGGUUACUUGAAAUCACUUAGUAAAAUAGAACUAUAUAAAUGAUUACAUGAAUGAAUAGGGAAAAAUAUGGCAUAAAGUAUGGAUAAAAUUAGCUGCUAUAUAAAGUUAUGGUAUAUAUAUAACUAGUAACUGAUAAGCUAAAUUCAUAUGGUUAAUUGAAAUCACUUAGUAAAAUAGGACUAUAUGAAUGACUACAUGGAUGAAUAGGAAAAAAUAUGGUAUAAAGUAUGGAUAAAAUUAGCUACUAUAUAAAGUUAUGGUAUAUAUAUAACUAGUAACUGAUAAGCUAGAUUCAUAUGGUUAAUUGAAAUCACUUAGUAAAAUAGGAUUAUAUGAAUGACUACAUGGAUGAAUAGGAAAAAAAUAUGGGAUGUUUUAUACAACAACGAAAACAUCACACACCCAGACAAGUAUCAUAAAUCAAUGUCAUUUUUUCUAUAACAUGAGAGUAGAUGAAUGAUUGAAUGAAUGAAUUGGAAAAAAAAUAUAUGGGAUGAUUUAUACAACACAACCAAAACAUCACACACCCAGACACUUAUCAUAAAACAAAGCCAUUAUUCUGUAGCAUGAGAAUAGAUGAAUGACCGAAUGAAUGAA